UACGAAAAGAAGAUAUUCUGUCUCC
RNAcentral lists this non-coding RNA (25 nucleotides) under Mus musculus (house mouse). The record is from RNAcentral. Lineage: Eukaryota; Metazoa; Chordata; Mammalia; Rodentia; Muridae.